Molecule: ribosomal RNA, 253 nt
Filed under: uncultured bacterium
Lineage: Bacteria
Description: partial 16S ribosomal RNA
Rfam family: Bacterial small subunit ribosomal RNA
Source: RNAcentral
UACGUAGGCAGCAAGCGUUGUUCGGAAUUACUGGGCGUAAAGCGUGUGUAGGCGGUUUUCCAAGUCUGGUGUGAAAUCUCCCGGCUUAACUGGGGGGGUGCAUUAGAAACUGGAAUGCUAGAGGAUGGGAGAGGUAAGCGGAAUUCCGGGUGUAGCGGUGAAAUGCGUAGAGAUCAGGAGGAACACCGGUGGUGUAGACAGCUUACUGGACCAUUUCUGACGCUGAGACACGAAAGCGUGGGUAGCAAACAGG